RNAcentral lists this long non-coding RNA (9566 nucleotides) under Populus tremula. RNAcentral describes it as "long non-coding RNA (PTRE_LNC000962)". The record is from RNAcentral. Lineage: Eukaryota; Viridiplantae; Streptophyta; Magnoliopsida; Malpighiales; Salicaceae.
ACCCCAAACCACGGCCACAAGUUGUCAAACCAGACCUCCACAAACCAUAUUACGACUCCAAUCCGAAGCCAACACUCCCCAAACCAAAGUUCACAGAACCAAAACCAGACAAAGGGUAUGACUCAAAACCAUACCUUGGCCAACCAACCACCCCCAAACCAGACACUGCCAAGCCAAAUUAUGGUUACAACCCGAAACCAGAAGUUCCCAAACCGAAAUUGACAAUGCCGAAACCCAACUAUGGUAAUGACCCAAAACCAAAGUUGAUCGUACCCAAACCAGACACUGCCAAGCCAAAUUAUGGUUACAAACCAAAACCAGAAGUUCCCAAACCAAAGAUGACUGUACCGAAACCCGAUCAUGGUUAUGACCCUAAAGGGAAGGUUUACGAACAACCAAAGUCAACUGCACCAAAGCCAGAGAUUAUCAAGCCACAUGAUGGGUAUGCCCAAAAACCAAACCUCCCGGAACCAAAGUUAUACAUACCAAAACCGAGUAAUGACAAACUGGACUAUGAGUAUAGCCCAAUCGGCAUCGAAGGUUUUGUCCUCUGCAAACGCGGCUCUAACUAUACCCCUAUUGAAGGUAAUUUCUACACCCUCUUUAUUCUUCCUCGGAUUCAAUGUAAUACUUUGUUUCGCAUGUAUUAUUAUUCUUACAGACGCUGCUGAUCAAUUAUAUUCUUUCGUUAUGUUUUCCUCACAAAAACUAUUUUUUUUGUGUGCAGGAGCCGUGAUAAGAAUAGCCUGUACUGCUGUGGACCAGUAUGGUUACAAGAAAGUCCCUUUCUCCUGCUUGACAGAAGCAACUAAUGCAAAGGGUUACUACUUCAAAACAUUGCCUGCUUUAAAGCUCACAGAAUGCAAGGCUUACCUUGAAAGCUCUCCAUUGAAAACCUGCAACGUUCCUACAGAUAUGAACUAUGGGAUCACCGGUGCUCCCCUUUCAGCUUAUCACGUUCUCCAUGACAAGAAAAUAAAACUGUACUCCAUGAGGACUUUCUUCUACACCUCGACGAAACCUACAUCAACCCCUGCUGGUUAUUAAAUUGUCUUCUCUCCAUGACUACAAUUCAUCUAUUUUUUACUUUGUUUAAAGCUGUUGUAACGGAUUGAUUUCCUUCUUGCUGUUUAUAUUUAUGGGCUUUUGCCUUGAUGAUCAGUUUCAUUAUGGGGAGAGUUUUGUGAUAAAAAUUCUUCAAUUAAGAUUUUUAUUUUCUUUUCUUUUUGGGAGAUUAAUGAUGUAUCAGUGUCACCAAAUAUUAAUGAACCACAAGGUCAUUGAUUUGUUUCCUUAAAAAUAAAUAACUUAAAGACUAGUCUUUUUUGUAAUUUGUCCUCCGGUUAAUUUUAUCAUGUUUCCAUUUCAAUGUGUGCGUUUAGAAAUACUAAGUUACUCGGCAUUUGCUUAGUAAAUUUAUUAUUUAAUUAAUUUAUAGUAUUUAAUUUCUAUUUUUUGAUAAGUUGUUUAGAAUUAUUUACAAAUGAAUAAAUUUAAAUGUUUAAUGAAUAUAAAUGUACUUGAUUUCAAAUUAUUAUAUAUUAAUUUUGAUAUAAUUUAAGGGUUUUUGUAUUUUAAGACUUUAUAUUAUAGAAUGUAUAUAUAUAAGAAAUAUUAUAGGACUACUCUAGUGUUGUAAUCUCUACCUUUACUAUUGUGUAUUGCAUUAUACAUAUAAAUAAAAAAGAUUGAUUAACUAAUAAGUUAAGCCUCUUAUUUCUUCUCAACUUUGUAUUAAAGCCCUUAAGCGUCCUACCUGAGACAUACUAUAUUACUGAUUUUGUUUUAAAUUGCUAAAAGUUUAUUUUUGUUUUAUUCUUAUAGUCUUUCUAUAAUAUUCUUGACUUUGGUGUCAAUAAAUAUUCUCUUAUGAAUAUUUCUAACUCUAGUAUUGGUAAAUAUUGCGCAACGCUAAAGGUAUAAUUUUCGUGACUCUAACAGUAGUGAAUAAAUUUGCAAAUUUUGGAUUAAAAUAAAAGGAAACUAUUUUUUAUUUUCAUUUUCUUUAGAAAAAAAACAUGUAUUGCAUAUCAGAUACAUAUUUCGCAAUAAAAGUCCAUAAAUCAUAUAUACAACAAAACCAACAAAACCACACAGAAAAAAAAAGGUGUGAGUGACCCAUAAGUAAAUCAAUGAAAACCUCCAUAUUUUUUUUUAUAUCCAAAAAGGAUUCAUUUAGUUAAAUAUCAAAACAAAAAUGUGUGAAAUAAAAAGAGAAUACGUAAAGGUAUAUUUUACCAAACACACCCUUAAUCCAAAACAAUUUACGCUGGCUAGGUCUAAGUCUCAGACCCAGACCCAAACCCAGCCAAAUCUCAAUUUAUUGGGGAAAAAAUUCAAAAUUUUGGUGAUAACCGAAAUCAAAGGUAAAUAUAAGGUGUUUUUAAUAUCCAUCUCAUGAGCAAUCUUAAUGAGUAAAUGAUAGGUUGCAACAGUUAUCACUUUCACCUUUGAACCAGUCCCCAUACAGACGAGUCCUUCACUGUCCUUCCAUUCUGGCUUGUAAGGAAUCCCUACAUUGUGUUGUUCAUGUGAGCAAUAACACUAUAAUCAACCAACCAGGUAUUAAAAGGAACUUAAGCAAGAUUUGAUUCAUAACAAACAAAAGAAAAUUUAUUACAUUUCUUUUCAAACCAAGCUUUAUGUUAAUUUGUUGGAGUCCAUCUUUACAUGUCCUUUCUUAUUAUAAAAAUUAAUAAAAUUUGAUAGUAAAAUUAUCUUUCUAUUUUUUAUUAACUUUUCUGGAUGCAUUUUGUUUCUUUAAUGGAGUUUAUUUUCCAUUCCCUUCCUCCUUGCUUACUUUGAGUUACCAGUAAUGCUGUAUGUUUCUUUCAUGUUUUAAACAUACUUGCUCUUAAAGACACAUGUUUAUCUAUUUACUUAUGCUUCAUUGAUCCUUAAUUAUUGGUGUUAUAAUUAAUUUUGAGUGGAUCAAGCCGAGAAGGAAGUGAAUUCAGAAUGAAUUGAACAGAAAACUAUCAUUUACAUGCAUUCUUAAAGCAUUUAGCUAUGCAACUUUAUCUGCCUUAUCGAGAAUAUGAUGAUGAACUCCUCUAGUACCAUCAUACUUCAUGGUAGUUAAUUCUUCUAUAAAAGUGCUUGCUAGUGACUUCUCAACUGAUCCUUCAGUAGUACUGAAUUCAUAAAUUCCUCAGCAUUUCUCAUCUAUAAUUGAGAGGUUGUGAUGUUGUUCGCCGGAAUUAUCCUCAUUAACGUCAAACUAAGCAUGUUUGACCUCUCUCCGGCUUUCAUUUCAAAGACUUGUUCAUCAGUUAUGUCAUCGGUAAUAGCUAGCUUGGGUUUUAUUCGUCAAAAGCGAAAAGUCCAAAUCCAAAGUGUUAAUCAGACUUGCCCGUACCAUUAAGAGAAUUUUGUCCCAUUGAAACCAAAAUACUUGAAGUAUAUGAUUGCAACACAGUGAGGAUUAAGACUAAAACUUUAAAAAACAUUCUGACAAUGAAGCUUAAGUCUAUAAUAUAGGAUUUUAUAACUCUAAAUUAAUAGACUAUUCAUGUCACCUUGGUUCACCUCUGGGCAAAAACCUCAGCGCAUCCGUUGUCCGCUCUAUAUAAAGCAAUAAGCAUAUCGUAAGCUGUCAUGUCUAUUCAAAUAUUGAAUUGUAUUUUAUCCAGAAACAGUUAAUUACAAGUAUACAAAUUUCAAGACAUAUAGCAAAGGCACGUCCUGAAUAAAAAUGCCGAAUAUAAUAAUGUCCAAGUCCACGCCAUCAUGCCGUACUGCAAUGUGUCCUUGGUGCAUGUAGCAGUAUUGCUCAUCACGUUGCUCUCCCCUCCCCUCCAACUGUGCAUACAAUUAGUCUCCCUUUCCUUCCUAUAUUUUAUUUCUCAGAUUAGUAACCCAAUCGGGCAAUCGGUCCUAUAAAAGGCCACGAUGAUGGUAGCGUUCCAUAUCAACAAUCUAAAGUUCUAUCCCUGUCCUCUUUGCAAUGCCUCUAACCCAUUCCUCCUCCGCCACCGUAUUCCUUCUCUUGUCAUUGUCAGUAAUUGCCUCAGCUGGCGGUUACGGCUAUGACCAAAAGCCAGAUACAACCAAGCCAGAUCAUACUUGCAACUCAAAAUCAAAGCCAGACACUUCCAAACCCAAGUAUAGUUAUGACCCCAAACCACGGCCACACGUUGUCAAACCAGAUCUCCACAAACCAUAUUACGACUCCAAUCCGAAGCCAGCCCUCCCCAAACCAAAGUUCACAGAACCAAAACCAGACAAAGGGUAUGACUCAAAACCAUACCUUGGCCGACCAACCAUCCCCAAACCAGACACUGCCAAGAAACCAGACACUGCAAGCCAAAUUAUGGUUACAACCCAAAACCAGAAGUUCCCAAACCGAAAUUGACAAUGCCGAAACCCAACUAUGGUAAUGACCCAAAACCAAAGUUGAUCGUACCCAAACCAGACACUGCCAAGCCAAAUUAUGGUUACAACCCAAAACCAGAAGUUCCCAAACCAAAGAUGACUGUACCAAAACCCGAUCAUGGUUAUGACCCUAAAGGGAAGGUUUACGAACAACCAAAGUCAACUGCACCAAAGCCAGAGAUUAUCACGCGGGAACCAAAGUUAUACAUACCAAAACCAAGUAAUGACAAACUGGACUAUGAGUAUAGCCCAAUCGGCAUCGAAGGUUUUGUCCUCUGCAAACAAGGCUCUAACUAUACCCCUAUUGAAGGUAAUUUCUACACCCUCUUUAAUUAUUCUUCCUCGGAUUCAAUGUAAUACUUUGUUUCGCAUGUAUUAUUAUUCUUACAGACGCUGCUAGCUGAUCAAUGAUAUUCUUUUGUUAAGUUUUCCUCACAGAAACUAUUUUUUUUGCGUGUAGGAGCUGUGAUAAGAAUAGCCUGUACUGCUGUGGACCAGUAUGGUUACAAGAAAGUCCCUUUCUCCUGCUUGACAGAAGCAACUAAUGCAAAGGGUUACUACUUCAAAACAUUGCCUGCUUUCAAGCUCACAGAAUGCAAGGCUUACCUUGAAAGCUCUCCAUUGAAAACCUGCAACGUUCCUACAGAUAUGAACUAUGGGAUCACCGGUGCUCCCCUUUCAGCUUAUCACCUUCUCCAUGACAAGAAAAUAAAACUGUACUCCAUGAGGACUUUCUUCUACACCUCGACGAAACCUACAUCAACCCCUGCUGGUUAUUAAAUUGCCUUCUCUCCAUGACUUCAAUUUUCUAUUUUUUACAUUGUUUAAAGCUGUUGUAACGGAUUGAUUUCCUUCUUGUUGUUUAUAUUUAUGGGCUUUUGUCUUGAUGAUCAGUUUCAUUAUGGGGAGAGUUUUGUGAUAAAAAUUCUUCAAUUAAGAUUUUUCUUUUCUUUAAAUCUUGGGAGAUUAAUGAUGUAUCAGUAUCACCAAAUAUUAAUGAACCACGAGGUCAUUGAUUUUUGUUCUUAAAAAAAAGGAGUUAAAGACUAGUCUUUUUUGUAUUUUGUCCUCCGGUUUUAUCAUGUUUCCACUUCAAUGUGUGCAUUUAUAAAUACUAAGUUACUUGGCAUGUGCUUAGUAAAUUUAUUAUUUGAUUAAUUUAUAGUAUUUUUUUUUAUUUUUUGAUAAAUUGUUUAUAAUUUUUUACAAAUGAAUAAAUUUAAGUUUUUAUUAAAUAUAAAUGUACUUGAUUUUUAAAUAAUUAUAUAUGAAUUUUGAUAAUUAUAAUAAAUUAAUUAUCACAUAAAUUUUGAUAUAAUUUAAGAGUUUUUGUAUUUUAAGACUUUAUAUUUCUUCACAGCUUAUUUUUAGUCUUUUAGAUUUUUAAUAGUUAAAAUAGAAUAUGAAUAUAAUAUUAUAUAGUUGAGGAUUGAUUUAAGUAGAUUAUUUUUAAGAUUGAGGAUGUUUUUCAAUGAAUAAUAAGUGGCUGGUAGCUGGUGUCUAGUAAUAUAAACCUGCAAAAAAUUUCUUUUGAUGAAUAUAAAAUCUCUUAAAUACUUAAAUCAAAUAAUUUUAUAAAGAAAAAGUUCAACAUUAAAUAUUUCCUUUUGCAUUGUGCUUUCCUUAAAAACCCAUUUACAACUAGUUUUCUUGCAUUUACUAGGCAAUUCAAUGAGAUGUGACAAGUUGGAUACUUUAGAAUAAAUCAUUGCACCUAACAAUGUCUAUUAAAACACAAUUAUAUUUUUUAGUAACUUUAUUUUACUGCAGCAUCCCUGACAUUGUAUAUCAUCGCACCCCUAAUAAUGUCUAUUAGAGUACAAUUAUGUUUUUCAGUAACUCCAUUCUACUGUAGCAUCCCUGACAUUGUAUAUCAUGCCCGAAUGCCUUAUUUUUUAAAAACUUAGAAAAUGUACCAAGAUUUUAUCUUAACUUAUCGUACCUAUCAUAGUACUCACCACUCUUAUUUGAUCCAAUAAUUUUAACAUUUCUAUCUAAUUAUCUCUUGGCUUCAAUGAUGCACACUAUAUGGAUGUCAACAAUUUGAGAUUUCUUAUGCAUUAGAUAUACAUAACCAUAACAUGACAUAUAUUUUUUGAAACAUAAAAUAUAGAGUGGUCGAAUAUGAAUAUGAAUAUGAAUAUAUAUAUAUAUAUAUAUAUAUAUAUAUAUAUAUAUAUAUAUAUAAUUUAAUGCAAUCCAUACACAAGUCCAAAUAAGUGAAAUCUAGUUUUUCCAAAACUUCAUUCUUCACUAAUAUCUAAAUCCUUUCCCUAAAGACAUGCCUCAUACAUCUAUGCCACAAGGUAAAUUUCAUUUAUUUCAUUACACUUUAAAACAACAUUAUAAUGCAAGGCCAUCAAACAUUGCUUUUCUAAUUAGUUUUUUUAUUUUUAUUUUAUUAUAUCUUUUAAUAUUAAAUUGGUUGAAUUUUCAGCUUCAUAUUUUAUUUUAUUUUGCUUUCUAAGUGGUUAUCAGAAUCUCAUAACCUGGAUCACAAAUUUUGUAGGUUGACUUUAUUCAUUUUUUCGGGUUCUUUUUUAAUUGAAUAUUUUUUUUUAAUUGGGCUUUGUAAAAAAAAAUUCUGAUUUUUUUUAUAGGGUUAUCUCAAUCUUAUAAAUCAGGUUACGAGUUUGACAUGUUGACUCGAUUUAUUUUUUAGAUUUUUUUUAAUUGAAUAUUUUUUUUGACAUGUUGUUUAGGAAUUAAGUUUCGUAAUUUUUUUUUUUCAGUAGAGUUAUCUUGGUUCAUGUAUUUAGUCUUUUUUUCAAUUUCAAUAUUUAAUAUUUGAUCUGUUGGAAAUGUAGCUUCAUAGUUUUUUUAUUUGUAUUUUAUGAAGUUAUCAUGAUCUUAUUAUUUAUGUUACGAGUCUAAUAGGUUAGCCCAAGUUGAAUUGGGUUAUUUUUUUUCCUUUUUCAAAGUGAUUUUUUUGUUUUAUCUUUUAACAUUGGGUUAGUUGAAAAUUGAGUUUCAUAACUUUUUGUUAUUUGAUUUCUAUAAGGUUAUCUUGAUCUCAUAACUAGAGUUGUGGGUUAACACGAGUUGACGAGAGUCAUUUUUUAUUUAAAAUGUUUUUUUUUCAAUUUCAUAAUUUAUUUUAAUUUGUUUUUUAUAGAAUUAUUUCGGUCUCAUGAUUCAAUUGCAGAUUUAUCAGGUUAACACAAACAUAUCCAAUAUGUCAUUGUCAUAAUAUUUGAAGAAAUAUUAUCCAAUAUGUUAUUAUAUCAAUAUUUAGAAAAAAUGUCAUCCAAUAUACAUCUUAUUUUGAGUUAUGAAUAAUUGUUUUUUAGUUAAAAAAAUUGAUUUCACCCAUAGCACAGUGCAUGCCAAUAAUCUCGUAAUAUUCUAUAACAUAAUGCGGAAAUAAAAUAGUGAGAUCGAAUACAUACCAUUAUUAUUCAUGAUAUCCAAUGAAGAAAUCUUUGUUUAUAUAUAUUCAGUUACCUACUUAUUAUAAUUUAUUUAGUGUCUUUUUAUAGAGGAUAUAGUGGUGAGUAAAAAAGAUAAUCAUCGGGUCUAAUUAUUUAUCAUGAUUCCUUAAAUUUUUUUUAUAGACUGUUUGAACCCUAUAAAUUAAAUUAAACUCACAUGGUUAAAUCACUUUUUAUGUUUGAAUUCUUUUAAGGAUAUUAAUUUUAGUUCGAAACGAAAUUGAAUUUAUAAAAAAUAUGCAAGAUUUUCUAGUGUGCCACGGUAAUUCCUCUUGAAAUUCUUGUUGUUUAUAAUAUUCCAAAGAUACCUCUUUUCAAUGCAGAAAACAGGAUAAAAAAAAGGAAGAAAGAAGAGGUUGGUGAUUAAAAACCUUUCACAAGAACGCAACCUUUCUGGUGUCAACUUCUCUUCUCUCUUAAUCUUAGUUUGUACAGAACUUAAUUCAGAGACGGGUUUUGAAUCGGCAUCUCGUCUUCUUUGACAAUAUCAUCAUUAACUUCGUUAUUGAGUUUUUUGAAGCCAUCCACACCUGUUGUGCUUCAACAUGCUUCAAGCUAUCAAGUUUUCAGUCGCUAAAAAGGCCAAAAAGGGUAGCCAGUGCUUUACUACCAGGCAUCACUUCUCAUGGAGCACGGUCCCAGGCAAAAAUGUUUAGAACUAGAGCAAUCACUUCAGCAGAUUAAGAUUAUGCAGACAUGAGCACAUCUCAACUUUGGAAAAACUGACCUGUGAUGAUUGCAUGGUUUGGACAGAAAUGUAUUGUAAGACAACUAGCACAGCAGGCAAAACAAGAUACAUAUGCCACGGUAUCCGACCAUCAAGGGGUGUGUGUCCAUCUUGAGAAACAAUCAAUCAAUAAACAUGAAGCAAGAUCCACAUGAAGGAAAUAAAGGCCUUUAUUUUAUGUCAUUUUCAAUGAAUUAUAUUUUAUCCAGAAACUGUUGAUUACAAGUAUACAAAUUUCAAGACAUAUAGCAAAGGCACGUCCUGAAUAAAAAUGCCGAAUAUAAUAAUAUUGUCCAAAGUCCAAGCCAUCAUGCCGUAUUGCAAUGUGUCCUUGGUGUAGGAGUAUUGCUCAUCACGUCGCUCACCCCUCCUCUCCUACUGUGCAUACAAUUAGUCUCCCUUUCCUUCCUAUAUUUUAUUUCUCAGAUUAGGAACCCAAUCGGGCAAUCAGUCCUAUAAAAGGCCAUGAUGAUGGUAGCGUCGAUCCCUGUCCUCUUUGCGAUGGCUCUAACCCAUUCCUCCUCCGCCACCUUAUUCCUCCUCUUGUCAUUGUCAGUGAUUGCCUCCGCUGGCGGUUACGGCUAUGACCAAAAGCCAAAUACAACCAAGCCAGAUCAUACUUACAACUCGAAAUCAAAGCCAGACACUUCCAAACCCAAGUAUAGUUAUGACCCCAAACCACGGCCACACGUCGUCAAACCAGACCUCCACAAACCAUAUUACGACUCCGAAGCCAACCCUCCCCAAACCAAAGUUCACAGAACCAAAACCAGACAAAGGGUAUGACUCAAAACCAUACCUUGGCCAACCAACCAUCCCCAAACCAGACGCUGCCAAGCCAAAUUAUGGUUACAACCCAAAACCAGAAGUUCCCAAACCGAAAUUGACAAUGCCGAAACCCAACUAUGGUAAUGACCCAAAACCAAAGUUGGUCGUACCCAAACCAGACACUGCCAAGACAAAUUAUGGUUACAAACCAAAACACGAAGUUCCCAAACCAAAGAUGACUGUACCAAAACCCGAUCAUGGUUAUG